CCCCUGUGAGGGGAGUGAAAUAGAACCUGAAACCGUGUACGUACAAGCAGUAGGAGCCCUUCGAGGGUGACUGCGUACCUUUUGUAUAAUGGGUCAGCGACUUAUAUUUUGUAGCGAGGUUAACCGAAUAGGGUAGCCGUAGUGAAAGCGAGCGUUAACUGCGCGUUGAGUUGCAAGGUAUAGACCCGAAACCCGGUGAUCUAGCCAUGGGCAGGUUGAAGGUUGAGUAACAUCAACUGGAGGACCGAACCCACUAACGUUGAAAAGUUAGGGGAUGACCUGUGGCUAGGAGUGAAAGGCUAAUCAAACCGGGAGAUAGCUGGUUCUCCCCGAAAUCUAUUUAGGUAGAGCCUCGGACGAAUACCAUUGGGGGUAGAGCACUGUUUGGGCUAGGGGGUCAUCCCGACUUACCAACCCCAUGCAAACUCCGAAUACCAAUGAGUACUAUCCGGGAGACACACGGCGGGUGCUAACGUCCGUCGUGGAGAGGGAAACAACCCAGACCGCCAGCUAAGGUCCCAAAGUGUAUGUUAAGUGGGAAACGAUGUGGGAAGGCUAAAACAGCUAGGAGGUUGGCUUAGAAGCAGCCACCCUUUAAAGAAAGCGUAAUAGCUCACUAGUCGAGUCGGCCUGCGCGGAAGAUGUAACGGGGCUAAACAUACCACCGAAGCUGCGGCUGCGAACUUAGUUCGCGGGGUAGGGGAGCGUUGUGUAAGUGGCUGAAGGUGUGCCGGGAGGCAUGCUGGACAUAUCACAAGUGCGAAUGCUGACAUGAGUAACGAUAAUGCGGGUGAAAAACCCGCACGCCGGAAGACCAAGGGUUCCUAUCCCAUGUUAAUCAGGGUAGGGUGAGUCGACCCCUAAGGCGAGGCCGAAAGGCGUAGUCGAUGGGAAACGGGUUAAUAUUCCCGUACUUGGUAUAAAUGCGAUGGGGGGACGGAGAAGGCUAGGCAGGCACGGCGUUGGUUGUCCGUGUGAAAGUAUGUAGGCUUGAAUCUUAGGAAAAUCCGGGAUUCUUUAAGGCUGAGAUACGAGACGACACUCUACGGAGUGGAAGCUGUUGGUGCCAUACUUCCAGGAAAAGCCUCUAAGCUUCAGUUUAUACCGAAUCGUACCCCAAACCGACACAGGUGGUCAGGUAGAGAAUACUAAGGCGCUUGAGAGAACUCGGGUGAAGGAACUAGGCAAAAUAGUACCGUAACUUCGGGAGAAGGUACGCUCCUACCUGUGAUGAGACUUGCUCUCUAAGCGGACGGGAGUCGCAGUGACCAGGUGGCUGGGACUGUUUAUUAAAAACACAGCACUGUGCUAAAUCGCGAGAUGACGUAUACGGUGUGACACCUGCCCGGUGCCGGAAGGUUAAUUGAUGGGGUUAGUCCUCGGACGAAGCUCUUGAUCGAAGCCCCGGUAAACGGCGGCCGUAACUAUAACGGUCCUAAGGUAGCGAAAUUCCUUGUCGGGUAAGUUCCGACCUGCACGAAUGGUGUAACCAUGGCCACGCUGUCUCCACCCGAGACUCAGUGAAAUUGAAAUCGCAGUGAAGAUGCUGUGUACCCGCGGCUAGACGGAAAGACCCCGUGAACCUUUACUACAGCUUGGCACUGAACAUUGAGCCUACAUGUGUAGGAUAGGUGGGAGGCUUUGAAGC
This 1648-nucleotide ribosomal RNA is filed under the name Pseudoalteromonas sp. BDTF-M6. RNAcentral's name for it is "partial 23S ribosomal RNA". It matches the Rfam family "Bacterial large subunit ribosomal RNA", at positions 524 to 2163 of the family's 2925-position model. Lineage: Bacteria; Pseudomonadati; Pseudomonadota; Gammaproteobacteria; Alteromonadales; Pseudoalteromonadaceae. The record is from RNAcentral.